Molecule: ribosomal RNA, 468 nt
Filed under: uncultured bacterium
Lineage: Bacteria
Description: partial 16S ribosomal RNA
Rfam family: Bacterial small subunit ribosomal RNA
Source: RNAcentral
GACGAACGCUGGCGGCGUGCUUAACACAUGCAAGUCGAACGGAAAGGCCCUGCUUUUGUGGGGUGCUCGAGUGGCGAACGGGUGAGUAACACGUGAGUAACCUGCCCUUGACUUUGGGAUAACUUCAGGAAACUGGGGCUAAUAUCGGAUAGGAGCUCCUGUUGCAUGGUGGGGGUUGGAAAGUUUCGGCGGUUGGGGAUGGACUCGCGGCUUAUCAGCUUGUUGGUGGGGUAGUGGCUUACCAAGGCUUUGACGGGUAGCCGGCCUGAGAGGGUGACCGGCCACAUUGGGACUGAGAUACGGACCAGACUCCUACGGGAGGCAGCAGUGGGGAAUAUUGCACAAUGGGCGGAAGCCUGAUGCAGCAACGCCGCGUGCGGGAUGACGGCCUUCGGGUUGUAAACCGCUUUCGCCUGUGACGAAGCGUGAGUGACGGUAAUGGGUAAAGAAGCACCGGCUAACUACGUG